CUCAAAGCCUAGGAUGGACUGUGUGAAGUGUCUAAACCGUUACCAGCUCUGGCAGGUAAGUCUGGUUGUGGUUGCCUGACGUCUCCAAAGUCAUAGAGCUGCUGAGAGGCACAGGAGGGGUCUGAAACCAUGGCCCCUAAACUCUAAAACCUCGAUCCUGGUUUGCUAACACAGUCCUGAGGCAUCACUGCUGCCUCCUCGUGGCCCCAAAACACUCUGGACUGGCUCCUGGGCCAAGAAGUUUCUUCCAGUUUCUGAUGUUGUUACUCACUGUGACCAGGAAAUGUUGGGUUCUUUGCAGAGACAGCCUGCGAGACACCUGGACCUAACACUGAGGAGGCAAAACCCUGCUGAAAAGGCAUGUGAAG
Molecule: long non-coding RNA, 368 nt
Organism: Bos taurus (domestic cattle)
Lineage: Eukaryota; Metazoa; Chordata; Mammalia; Artiodactyla; Bovidae
Source: Ensembl